GCGUCUGUAGUAUAGUCUGGUCCAAUGCACCUGAUUGUCAAUCAGGAAAUCGCGGGUUCGAAUCCCGUCAGGCGCGC
This 77-nucleotide transfer RNA is filed under the name Streptomyces phage MulchMansion. RNAcentral's name for it is "tRNA-Asp". It matches the Rfam family "tRNA". From Rfam's summary of the family: Transfer RNA (tRNA) molecules are approximately 80 nucleotides in length. Their secondary structure includes four short double-helical elements and three loops (D, anti-codon, and T loops). RNAcentral also lists the same sequence under 1 other name. Lineage: Duplodnaviria; Heunggongvirae; Uroviricota; Caudoviricetes; Stanwilliamsviridae. The record is from RNAcentral.